AUGGGCGAAAGCCUGAUGCAGCGACGCCGCGUGAGGGAUGGAGGCCUUCGGGUUGUAAACCUCUUUCGCUCAUGGUCAAGCCGCAACAUUGGUUGUGGUGAGGGUAGUGGGUAAAGAAGCGCCGGCUAACUACGUGCCAGCAGCCGCGGUAAUACGUAGGGCGCGAGCGUUGUCCGGAAUUAUUGGGCGUAAAGGGCUUGUAGGCGGUUGGUCGCGUCUACCGUGAAGUCCUCUGGCUUAACUGGGGGCGUGCGGUGGGUACGGGCUGACUUGAGUGCGGUAGGGGAGACUGGAACUCCUGGUGUAGCGGUGGAAUGCGCAGAUAUCAGGAAGAACACCGGUGGCGAAGGCGGGUCUCUGGGCCGUUACUGACGCUGAGGAGCGAAAGCGUGGGGAGCGAACAGGAUUAGAUACCCUGGUAGUCCACGCUGUAAACGUUGGGCACUAGGUGUGGGGGCCACCCGUGGUUUCUGCGCCGUAGCUAACGCUUUAAGUGCCCCGCCUGGGGAGUACGGCCGCAAGGCUAAAACUCAAAGGAAUUGACGGGGGCCCGCACAAGCGGCGGAGCAUGCGGAUUAAUUCGAUGCAACGCGAAGAACCUUACCAAGGCUUGACAUGCACGGCGGCACUGCAGAGAUGUGGUGGCAUUUAGUUGGUCGUGUGCAGGUGGUGCAUGGGUUGUCGUCAGCUCGUGUCGUGAGAUGUUGGGGUUAA
RNAcentral lists this ribosomal RNA (714 nucleotides) under Actinomyces sp. oral taxon 180. RNAcentral describes it as "bacterial SSU rRNA". It matches the Rfam family "Bacterial small subunit ribosomal RNA", at positions 371 to 1083 of the family's 1533-position model. Lineage: Bacteria; Bacillati; Actinomycetota; Actinomycetes; Actinomycetales; Actinomycetaceae. The record is from RNAcentral.